This 545-nucleotide ribosomal RNA is filed under the name uncultured eukaryote. Its description in RNAcentral is "SSU rRNA". It matches the Rfam family "Eukaryotic small subunit ribosomal RNA", at positions 581 to 1121 of the family's 1831-position model. The record is from RNAcentral.
AAUUCCAGCUCCAAUAGCGUAUAUUAAAGUUGGUUGCAGUUAAAAAGCUUCGUAGUUGGAUUUCUGGUCGGAGCGAUCGGUCCGCUCAUUCGGGGUGUGUACUUUGUGUCGUCUCCAGCCAUCCUUGAGGCGAGCUGUCCUGGCAUUGAGUUGUUGGGGCAGGGAACCUCAUCUUUUACUGUGAAAAAAUUAGAGUGUUUAAAGCAGGCUUACGCCGUUGAAUACAUUAGCAUGGAAUAAUAAGAUAGGACUUUGGUGGUCUAUUUUGUUGGUUUGCACACCGAAGUAAUGAUUAAGAGGGACAGUUGGGGGUAUUCGUAUUUAAUUGUCAGAGGUGAAAUUCUUGGAUUUCUGAAAGACGAACUACUGCGAAAGCAUUUACCAAGGAUGUUUUCAUUAAUCAAGAACGAAAGUUAGGGGAUCGAAGAUGAUUAGAUACCAUCGUAGUCUUAACCAUAAACUAUGCCGACUCGGGAUUGGCGGGCGUUAACUUUAUGACUCCGUCAGCACCGUAUGAGAAAUCAAAGUCUUUGGGUUCCGGGGGG